GAUGAACGCUGGCGGCGUGCCUAAUACAUGCAAGUCGAGCGAACAGAUGAGAAGCUUGCUUCUCUGAUGUUAGCGGCGGACGGGUGAGUAACACGUGGGUAACCUACCUAUAAGACUGGGAUAACUCCGGGAAACCGGGGCUAAUACCGGAUAAUAUUUUGAACCGCAUGGUUCGAUAGUGAAAGACGGUUUCGGCUGUCACUUAUAGAUGGACCCGCGCCGUAUUAGCUAGGUGGUAAGGUAACGGCUUACCAAGGCGACGAUGCGUAGCCGACCGGAGAGGUUGGUCGGCCACACUGGAACUGGGACACGGUCCAGACUCCUACGGGAGGCAGCAGUAGGGGAUCUUCCGCAAUGGGCGAAAGCCUGACGGAGCAACGCCGCGUGAGUGAUGAAGGUCUACGGAUCGUAAAGCUCUGUUGUUAGGGAAGAACAAAUUUGUUAGUAACUGAACAAGUCUUGACGGUACCUAACCAGAAAGCCACGGCUAACUACGUGCCAGCCGCCGCCGUAA
RNAcentral lists this ribosomal RNA (514 nucleotides) under uncultured bacterium. RNAcentral's name for it is "partial 16S ribosomal RNA". It matches the Rfam family "Bacterial small subunit ribosomal RNA", at positions 28 to 523 of the family's 1533-position model. The record is from RNAcentral.